Molecule: long non-coding RNA, 419 nt
Organism: Lates calcarifer (barramundi perch)
Lineage: Eukaryota; Metazoa; Chordata; Actinopteri; Centropomidae
Exons: 3
Source: RefSeq, a predicted model, not a curated record
AGGUUCACACUGACAAGAGAAGGAACCAGGGACGUUGACACAGCGAUGUUGGCAGUAUCUGUACCUGCACUCAUCGAUGUCUGACAGAGAGAAAUAAGAGUCAUGUGUCUUUGGAGCACAGAGCCAAGAAACGAACUACACAGACUGUGGGCCACAUUAUCUUGGCUCUUGUGAGGAGCCAAGUGUAGCGGGGAGAGCAGAGCAGAGCAGAGCAGAGCAGAGCAGACAGCAGAGCAGUGGUGCAGCUGUGACGUGUAUGGCCUGUACCAGAAAAGUGGGUAAGAGAAAUGGAGGAAAAACUCACAGAUGGAUCUUUUCCGGUGGGUCUUCCGUCCCUCAGUGUUGCUCUGACCAGUGUGUCCUCCUGCUGGCUGCGCUCGUCCCGGCUGAGUUGGCGUACAGAAGUGGUCCCUUAAACU